AGAGUUUGAUCCUGGCUCAGAUUGAACGCUGGCGGCAUGCCUUACACAUGCAAGUCGAACGGUAACAGGUUAAGCUGACGAGUGGCGAACGGGUGAGUAAUGUAUCGGAACGUGCCCAGUCGUGGGGGAUAACUACUCGAAAGAGUGGCUAAUACCGCAUGAGACCUGAGGGUGAAAGCGGGGGAUCGCAAGACCUCGCGCGAUUGGAGCGGCCGAUAUCAGAUUAGCUAGUUGGCGGGGUAGAAGCCCACCAAGGCGACGAUCUGUAGCUGGUCUGAGAGGGCGACCAGCCACACUGGGACUGAGACACGGCCCAGACUCCUACGGGAGGCAGCAGUGGGGAAUUUUGGACAAUGGACGAAAGUCUGAUCCAGCCAUGCCGCGUGCGGGAAGAAGGCCUUCGGGUUGUAAACCGCUUUUGUCAGGGAAGAAACGACGUCCUCUAAUACAGGGUGUUAAUGACGGUACCUGAAGAAUAAGCACCGGCUAACUACGUGCCAGCAGCCGCGGUAAUACAGAGGUCUCAACCGUUGUUCGGAUUCAUUGGGCGUAAAGGGUGCGUAGGCGGUCGCGCAAGUCGGAUGUGAAAUCUUAGGGCUCAACCCUGAAACUGCAUUCGAUACUGCGUGGCUUGAGUACUGGAGAGGAGACUGGAAUUUACGGUGUAGCAGUGAAAUGCGUAGAUAUCGUAAGGAAGACCAGUGGCGAAGGCGAGUCUCUGGACAGUUACUGACGCUGAGGCACGAAGGCCAGGGGAGCAAACGGGAUUAGAUACCCCGGUAGUCCUGGCAGUAAACGGUGUACGUUUGGUGUAGGCGGAUUCGACCCCGCCUGUGCCGGAGCUAACGCGUUAAACGUACCGCCUGGGAAGUACGGUCGCAAGAUUAAAACUCAAAGAAAUUGACGGGGGCCCGCACAAGCGGUGGAGUAUGUGGCUUAAUUCGAUCCACGCGAAGAACCUUACCAGGGUUUGACAUGUAUCUCUAAGUCGGUGAAAGCCGGCGAGUUGUAGCAAUACAACGAUUUACACAGGUGCUGCAUGGCUGUCGUCAGCUCGUGUCGUGAGAUGUUGGGUUAAGUCCCGCAACGAGCGCAACCCUUACGUCCUGUUGCCACUCCUUAAUUGGAAGCACUCUGGACGGACUGCCCUGUGAAACGGGGAGGAAGGUGAGGAUGACGUCAAGUCAGCAUGGCCCUUACACCCUGGGCUGCACACGUACUACAAUGCUCAGUACAAUAUGAGCCGAAACCGCGAGGUGGAGGAAAUCGAUAAAACUGAGCCCAAUUCGGAUCGCAGGCUGCAACUCGCCUGCGUGAAGCCGGAAUCGCUAGUAAUGCCGUAUCAGCUACGACGGCGUGAAUACGUUCCCGGGCCUUGUACACACCGCCCGUCACAUCAUGGGAGUCGUUUGCACCCGAAGUACACCAAUGGUGUCCUACGGUAUGAGCGGUAACUGGGAUGAAGUCGAAACAAGGUA
This 1478-nucleotide ribosomal RNA is filed under the name metagenome. RNAcentral's name for it is "bacterial SSU rRNA". It matches the Rfam family "Bacterial small subunit ribosomal RNA". The record is from RNAcentral.